CAUCCCAUCAUUUACAGCAAAGCAGAAGUUGGACAUCACUGACUUUAUACUAGCGAACCCAAAUCCAGCAUCAAGAGCAAAAACCAGCCCAAUAUUUAGAGAACUACUGAGUCGAGGAAACAGCUGAAUGAUGAGUGCUGCUCAGAGUGAAACUAUACUGGAGUCCAAACUGGAGGCCUUGCAGUGCCACUUCACCUGGGAUCUGGACCCCAGCAGGUCCGUACUUCUACGUCGCAGGGAAAAGUUCGAGGACAUCGGCACAGAGGAGGGAAACAGCUGGCUGGGUCACAUUUACAACCUGCGGGGGUUCAUUCAAUACAAGCUGGGGUUGACUACAGACGCCCAGAGUUUGUUCAACAAGGCUGCAGAGGCCUUCCGCCAGAUGAGAAGUGCAGAUGAGGGUCCCUGGUUAGUGGUGAACUACGGGAACCUGGCUUGGCUGAACCACCACCUGGGAGACCAAGCAGAGAGUCAGGCUUACCUGACAAAGAUCGACGCCCUGAAGAAUAAAUACCCAUCUCCAUCCCAGGACGAGCUCCAUCCAGAGAUCUACGCUGAAAAAGCCUGGACCCUGAUGAAGUUCAGCAGAGACAGAAAUCUGGCUGCAGAUUACUUCCAGAGAGCCAUCAAGAUGCAGCCGGACAUGGUGGAGUGGAACACCAGCCACGUCUUAGGGUUAGCGAGAGCUUUUAAAGACAGCAACACGGGGCUGGAGGCUGACAUGUUGGAGAAAGUGAGAAUCGCCAAGGAACAGGAUCCAGAGAACUUGUACCUCGCUGUUUACUACCUUGAGCAAUGUGUUAAGAAAGGAGAGAGAAUUGAAGAUGAAGCUCGAGAGUUAGCCAGAAAGGUUUUGAGAAAUCCCGUCAGCAGCUACAGUGGUAUGAAACCAUUAAUGAUGGUUUACAGAAACUAUGUUUCUAUUGAUGAGGCCAUUGAAUUGGCAGACGAGGCUCUGGAAAACCAUCCAGAUGAGCGUUAUCUGAAGAGAUGUGCUGCACUCUGUUACAAAUGGAAGAUCAUUUUUUUCAGGGACAGUCGCCCAAAGCAAAGCAUGAUAGACAGAGCAAUCAGUCUCAAUAAGGAGGUGAUUUCUCUUUACCCUCAUUCUUCACUUACGAAGGAACUAGCUCUCGCAAAUAUACAUGCAAAAUCCAAUCACGGCCAGGGUGAAGCUGAGGAGAUAUAUUGGGAACUGCUAGAAAGGGAUCUGGAACCUCCUGAGAAGCAGGUCCUUUACAACCACUACGCAAAAUAUUUAUUCUACGAUCAACGGGACCCGCAAAGUUCAAUACGAUAUAACAUGAAGGCGGCAGCGAUACCGCAUCAAUCCUUCUUUCGUGGGGACAGCAUCACAACUCUGAAGAACAUUAAAGACAAAAACAGGAACCCAAUGUGUAGAGAAAUAGAGGAGUUUCUGGCAAAUCUGCAAAAACCAUAGUGUUUUUAACAGCACUGGUUCUGAAUCUACUAAAAAAUUUAGAUAUUGCAUUUGCUAAAUAAUCUCCACUUACUUUUUAAUUUAAUUACAUAUAAAACUACAUCUAUACUUCUUAAAAUAAAGUUAAAAUGGAAGUGAGAAUCUUACAGUGAAGACCUGCUAAUCAUUGCAAGGGAAGAAGUCAAGUUUGGCCCAAUUCAACGCAAAUGCAAAAUGCAAAAAAAAAGCAUGAGCUGUAUCCUUUAAAGGCAGGUUUCAACAAGUGUCUGCAAGUUUUUAGACUUAAGUACAUUUAAUGGAAGACAAAAGCUUUUUUUAAAAACUAUCUAAAAAUUGACUCAUUUG
RNA transcript from Sebastes umbrosus (honeycomb rockfish), 1786 nucleotides. It is a transcript of the gene named interferon-induced protein with tetratricopeptide repeats 1B-like, with no coding region annotated. The record is from RefSeq and is a predicted model, not a curated record. NCBI's taxonomy places the organism in Eukaryota, Metazoa, Chordata, Actinopteri, Perciformes, Sebastidae. The transcript is spliced from 3 exons.